RNAcentral lists this small RNA (2018 nucleotides) under Pongo abelii (Sumatran orangutan). RNAcentral describes it as "retained intron". The record is from RNAcentral. Lineage: Eukaryota; Metazoa; Chordata; Mammalia; Primates; Hominidae.
CUACUGAGCAGAGAAAGUGCUGUCCCGCAGGAGCCUGUCUCCCUCCAGCCUCAUGGCUGCUGUUUUCUGCAGCCUCUGUGCACAGACAGCCUCUACUAGUGGGUGUUGUCACGGAGGAGAGGCAGCCCCGUGGGCUUCGGGGAGCUGGGUGCACCUCUCCUCUCACUCGGCCGCUGCGACAUAGGGCAUGUCCUGUUCUUUUCUUGUAGCCUAGUCUCCUCUGGGCAUGAUGGAGCCUUAACAAGCUGCCGCGAGUUUCCAGGAACCCCAGUCUGUGAACACUAGCCGUGUGUGUGGCACGCAGACAAGUUCAUUCUACAGGCAGCUGUGGCUUCUGUCAUUCUUCUUGUAUUUUUAGUCUUGGUUAUGGCAGCCUGCGCUGUAAGUUGUUUAAACUCAACUUUAUGUGAGCUAAAGGUGAAGAGAGCUUCACUGGAGGAGUCAUCAAAAUACAUUCUCAGGACCAUUUUUUCUUCAAUUUUUCUUUUUGACAUCCUUCCAGACUGGGCUUCCCAGAUGAUUCUGACGCACAGCCUCGGCCACCUGCCCUCCCAUGUGCCGAAGUCCUUCUGUGGCAGGGGCCCUAGAGCUCCUGCCCUGGUGUCUUUGGGAACUGGAGUCCCCUGAGCCUUUGGCAAUCGUAGCUUAGGAUGAGAAGGAUGGGUAGGGAGAGUGACUGCCUGUGUUGGGGAGGCUGAGUGGCCCCAAGGCUUGGAAAUGGGAUGGGUGGAAGCAGAUGUGGGGAAGGGCUGGUCCCGGCUGAGGCAUUCACUCACUGUGUCUGCUUCAGUCUCAGGGGCAUUGGGUUGAAUCUUUGAGUGCCGGGAGUCUGUUCUGGUCUGCUGGGAGAGCUGCUUUUGGAGUUCCUGGUGUCUUAUUUCAUGAGGUCGUGGCAAGAUGGUGAAGUAGCAGCAGUGCAUAGGGUGUGAGGAUGGUCCGUGCCAGGGGAGUGCUGCCGGGCCGCAGCUGUGGACGUGGUAGUGGUGUGUGUCAUGUUGGAAGGUGUGUUUGUUCAGACACACUAGUCCUGGGGGCUGCUGGGCACAUCACUGGCGACAUGUCCAAUGGGGUGAGGCAGCGGUCUCGGGUGUUCAGAGUCGAGUGCCCCAGAUGGUGGGGUCUGCCUGGCGUCCACGCAAGCAGGUGUGUGACCAGGGAGGGGCCCAUGCACGGUGCCUCCUCCUCGUGCACUUGCCAGUGCCGCGUAUCCCCGACUGUGUGCUUCCUGCUGCGGCAGCGGCCUCACGCUUGCUUGCUUCCUCCUCUCCAGGUCAAACGAUCAAGGAGCAAAGGCGGGCUGGCCGGCCCUGACGGCACCAAGUCUGUCUUUGGGCAGAUGUGUGCUAAGAUGAGCUCGUUUGGUCCCGACAGCCUCCUCCUUCCUCACCGUGUCUGGAAAGUCAAGUUUGUGGGUGAGAACUUGCCGCGCGCUGGAGCACCUGUGUCCCCGGCAGUGGUCGCCUGAGCCCACAGGGAGCACAGAGGCCACAUGGUGUGGGAGCGUUGGGGCUCUUCACACAGGCCUGUGUGAGGGGACUUCGAGUGGCUGCUUCUCCCCUGCAGGUGAAUCUGUGGAUGACUGUGGGGGCGGCUACAGCGAGUCCAUAGCUGAGAUCUGUGAGGAGCUGCAGAACGGACUCACGCCCCUGCUGAUCGUGACACCCAACGGGAGGGAUGAGUCUGGGGCCAACCGAGACUGCUACCUGCUCAGCCCGGCCGCCAGAGCACCCGUGCACAGCAGCAUGUUCCGCUUCCUGGGUGUGUUGCUGGGCAUUGCCAUCCGAACCGGGAGUCCCCUGAGCCUCAACCUUGCCGAGCCUGUCUGGAAGCAGCUGGCUGGGAUGAGCCUCACCAUCGCGGACCUCAGUGAGGUAACUCCCUGGGGCGGCAGGCGGGGCCUCUGGGGUCUUGUUAACAGGCACAGUCUGUUCUGCGUGUCCGGUCAGGCUGUGAACUCUGGCCUAACUCAGUGCCCAGGUGACGCAGAGGCUGCUGGCUGUGGACCACCUUUGAGAAGC